RNAcentral lists this long non-coding RNA (724 nucleotides) under Physcomitrium patens. RNAcentral describes it as "long non-coding RNA (PPAT_LNC000110)". The record is from RNAcentral. Lineage: Eukaryota; Viridiplantae; Streptophyta; Bryopsida; Funariales; Funariaceae.
AUCUGCUUUUUAUACAAUUGAAGAAUUAAGUGUUGGACAAAGCAUAUAAGCACAAUAAAAAAUAUAAUAUUUAAUAAAUUUAGGUUCCAAAAAAUUAUAUGGUAAGAAAACAACAUUUAUAAACAUAUUUUGUAUUUUUAUUAUUAUCAAAUUCAAGUUGUUUUAUUAUUUAAUUAAUUAUAAGUAUAUAAAAUAUAUAAAUAAUUACAUUUGAAACUAACUAUAAUUUUUAUAGUGAAAUAAUAAAACAAGUUGUAUAUUUAAAUAGUAUCAUGAGUAUAGUUUCUUUGUUCUAUAUCUUUUUCUCUUUUUCCACAUUAUAGAUGUUCAUAGAAGAAAUAUAGAUGUUAAAGUGAACAAAACAAACUAUUCAAAAGUCUUGAUUUUCUCUUGAAUCGUACCACCACAAAGUAAAACCCGAGAAUUAGGGUUUGAAAGACUCCAUAGAAACAAGCUUCUCUUCAACACUUCCCAAGCAGUAGAAAGAGAAAAUUGGCUUCCGAAGAAUCACACAAAAGUAGGUAUUAAAUACACCCACACAACAGCAGCAGGUCUUGAGGUGCUACAAUGUGUGGAGACACUAGAGUAGGCAAUAAUUCUGCCCUUUGGGCUCCAGUGAUGGAUCUGGAAAAAUGAAUUGUUAAUCCUGGUGAUCUAAUGCUGUGAAGCCAUGUGUAGAGCGAAGAUUUAAAAAAAAAAAAAAAAAAAGGAAGAAGAAAAAAAA